AGCAGCCGCGGUAAUUCCAGCUCCAAUAGCGUAUAUUAAAGUUGUUGCAGUUAAAAAGCUCGUAGUUGAACUUCGGGAUCAAUGGGUCGGUCGUGCCCUCGGUACAUACUGGCUUUAUUGGUUCUCACCUUCUAAUGAACCAUAAUGUCAUUCAUUUGAUGUUAUGGGGAAUUAGGACUGUUACCUUGAAAAAAU
This 195-nucleotide ribosomal RNA is filed under the name uncultured Septoglomus. Its description in RNAcentral is "partial 18S ribosomal RNA". It matches the Rfam family "Eukaryotic small subunit ribosomal RNA", at positions 569 to 766 of the family's 1831-position model. The record is from RNAcentral. Lineage: Eukaryota; Fungi; Glomeromycota; Glomeromycetes; Glomerales; Glomeraceae.